UUAAAACAUUUAUGAUGAGCUAUUAUUAA
RNAcentral lists this non-coding RNA (29 nucleotides) under Rattus norvegicus (Norway rat). Lineage: Eukaryota; Metazoa; Chordata; Mammalia; Rodentia; Muridae. The record is from RNAcentral.